AUGGUCCUAGAUGCAAAGGGAUUUCAUUCUAUGGAUUUAUGGACAAAAUGCAUGUAUAAUAUUACAAAAACAUAUGAUAUUAUUUUAAUGCAUUUUUUAUUCCUCGUCACACACACACACACACACACACACACACACACUUGUAUGUAUGUCACCGCUGCUUUCAGAGAUGGUACUAGUGAACCUAUGAACAUUCAGUAUUCCUCAAAUAAAACUCAACCGUUAACUUUUAAGUGCACUUUAUUUUCAAAAAAUGUUUAUUCUAGAAAUACAAAAAUAUUUCCAUCCACUAUAUACGCUCUUAAAUAG
RNAcentral lists this ribosomal RNA (309 nucleotides) under Triticum aestivum (bread wheat). RNAcentral's name for it is "partial small subunit ribosomal RNA". The record is from RNAcentral. Lineage: Eukaryota; Viridiplantae; Streptophyta; Magnoliopsida; Poales; Poaceae.